GAAAGAUUUCACCAUUUGACAUAUACAACUUUUCCAAUUACCCUGUGAGAGUAUCAACAUGAAUCUCAAAAUUCCUGGUGCACUGAAAAGAAUUUACACAGUUUGUUUCAGAGGCAAUCAAUUUAAUCACAAAAAAUGCCAGCUGCCCAUACCUCGGAUACAGAGCUAUCCAAACCAAGGAACCAUCAAAUUGGCCACAGUACAACUUCUACCAAAUCUAAAGCUGCUUUCCUUCAGAGUGUCGAAGAAUUUCCUGUAUUUCAGUUUUGCAAGGCCAGGGACUGACCUGCUAGAGUUCAUUGAACUUUGUAGCGAUGAGGUAUAAUGCAGUUGGGUAUUGUUAUAGUAAAAAGUCGUUGAAACUUUUUUACAUUAACGAACUCUUUUUUAAAGUGAAUGAUUACGUAUGUAUUUUUAAGGUUGUUUAUAUACAGCCCAUUGUUUUUAGCUACUGUCUCAAUGCUUGAUAGAAUAAAGAAAUACAGCCAUGGAUUACAUAUCUAUCUCAAUACUUUUAGCAAUAAAACUAGUCUACUACUUCAUAGCUGGUUCCAUAAACCAUUUUCUGAAAAUUCAGUUCGGGAUAGAACUUUAACAUCUUUUACUAUAACAAUGCUAAACAAAUAUAUAUAAAUGGUAAUGAUAAGUGUAAUUGUUUGUUUGUACAUAGUCCAUGUUAUUGACUUGUGUGAGUUUCAUAUAAUUUGGUAAAUAUACAAAUAAUUGGUUUCUCCAGUUAGUAAAUACUUGUCGUGUAAUGUUUCGUCCGUGUCACUGUUCACCUCGUAUUGUUAACGUAAGUGUAUUGUUAUGUCAGAAAAUAAAAUAAUUUCAAAUUAA
Long non-coding RNA from Helicoverpa armigera (cotton bollworm), 840 nucleotides. RefSeq lists it as uncharacterized. Lineage: Eukaryota; Metazoa; Arthropoda; Insecta; Lepidoptera; Noctuidae. The record is from RefSeq and is a predicted model, not a curated record. The transcript is spliced from 2 exons.